AAUCAACGCUGGCGGCGUGCCUCAGACAUGCAAGUCGAACGAUUAAAGCUCUCUUCGGAGAGUGCAUAGAGUGGCGCACGGGUGAGUAACACGUAAGUAAUCUACCUUUGAGUGGGGAAUAACGUCCGGAAACGGACGCUAAUACCGCAUAAUGCAGCGGCAUCGCAAGAUGACAGUUUGUUAAAGAUUUAUCGCUUGAAGAGGAGCUUGCGGCAGAUUAGCUAGUUGGUAAGGUAAUGGCUUACCAAGGCUACGAUCUGUAACCGGUCUAAGAGGACGGUCGGUCACACUGACACUGAAUAACGGGUCAGACUCCUACGGGAGGCAGCAGUCGGGAAUUUUGGGCAAUGGGCGAAGCCUGACCCAAGCAACGCCGCGUGAAGGAUGAAGUA
Molecule: ribosomal RNA, 392 nt
Filed under: uncultured bacterium
Lineage: Bacteria
Description: bacterial SSU rRNA
Rfam family: Bacterial small subunit ribosomal RNA
Source: RNAcentral